UGUUGCUAUGGUAUCCGGGGUGGUUGCUAAGGUGUCGCUAGGUGGUUGCUAGGGUGUUGCUAGGUGGUUGCUAAGGUGUUGCUAUGGUAUCUGGGGUGGUUGCUAAGGUGUUUCUAGGUGGUUGCUAGGUGGUUGCUAAGGUGUUGCUAUGGUAUCCGGGGUGGUUGCUAAGAUGUUGCUAGGUGGUUGCUAAGGUGUUGCUAUGCGGUUGCUAAGGUG
This is a long non-coding RNA of Astyanax mexicanus (Mexican tetra), 219 nucleotides long. RefSeq lists it as uncharacterized. Lineage: Eukaryota; Metazoa; Chordata; Actinopteri; Characiformes; Acestrorhamphidae. The record is from RefSeq and is a predicted model, not a curated record. The transcript is spliced from 3 exons.